Molecule: long non-coding RNA, 581 nt
Organism: Polypterus senegalus (gray bichir)
Lineage: Eukaryota; Metazoa; Chordata; Cladistia; Polypteriformes; Polypteridae
Exons: 3
Source: RefSeq, a predicted model, not a curated record
CUCCAAACCAGAUCCCGGGUCACUACAUUUCAUAGCUAGUGGCAACCAGGACCACACUGACUUCAGUGAGGGCACAGGAGAGCCUGUCAGUAGACUGUUCUUUGCCUGUCCAAGAGAUUGAAACUCUGCCUGAUCCCAGUGUUGUGGAUGAGUUCUGUAGAUGCCAACCCCGGAUUCGGCAUGAUGAUCUGGGAUAUGUUGAGACAAAGACAACAAGAAGACCCGGCUUAAUUUGGACGCAUGAGUCUUCUAUUGGAUGCCAUGGCCAUCAAGAAACAUGUCCAAUAUGAUCCACACACCCAGAAAAUGUCUGGCUUUGUGGAUAUAGGGGAAGGAGUGAAUGAAACAGAUGUGGCCACAGAGGCUCUUGUUUUUAUGGUGGUUGGCCUACAAAGCCAUUGGAAGGCUCCAAUUGCAUACUAUGUGAUCAACUCCCUGUUGCCAGAAACACAGAAGGUGCUACUUGUCCAUGCAUUGGAUUUACUGUAUGAGCAGGGGAUAACAUUGGUGUCUGUUACAAUAGAUGGGCAUGCCUCCAAUGUCAGCAUGUGUAACCAGCUUGGAUGCCAGCUAGUGGUCAA